This 305-nucleotide ribosomal RNA is filed under the name uncultured bacterium. Its description in RNAcentral is "bacterial SSU rRNA". It matches the Rfam family "Bacterial small subunit ribosomal RNA", at positions 336 to 658 of the family's 1533-position model. The record is from RNAcentral.
UUCCUACGGGAGGCAGCAGUGGGGGAUAUUGCACAAUGGGGGGAACCCUGAUGCAGCGACGCCGCGUGGGUGAAGGAGCGUUUCGGCGCGUAAAGCCCUAUCGGCAGGGAAGAAGAUGACGGUACCUGACCAAGAAGCCCCGGCUAACUACGUGCCAGCAGCCGCGGUAAUACGUAGGGGGCAAGCGUUAUCCGGAUUUACUGGGUGUAAAGGGAGCGUAGACGGUGCAGCAAGUCUGAUGUGAAAGGUCGGGGCCCAACCCCGGGACUGCAUUGGAAACUGUUGAACUGGAGUACAGGAGAGGG